Molecule: long non-coding RNA, 3041 nt
Filed under: Pandoravirus quercus
Description: hypothetical ncRNA
Source: RNAcentral
GCGACGGGUCCACCGGCAAACUGGGCGGCGACGGGUCCUCCACGCGCCUCCAGCACCUGCUGCGAGGUGGGCACCUGUGCGCCCACCGCGUAGGGGUACACGUUGUCGGUGCGCACCGACUCGACGACGCCAGCCUCGAUGCCCGUCAGCAGCGGCUGCACGAUCACCCGUGUGGGGAAGAAGCCCAGGCGUUCGCGGCUCGGUCCCAGCGAGAGCACAUAGUCAAAGUGCGACGUGUCGUAGCCGAUCACGCGACCGAGGGCAAGGGGCAGCGGCGGCGCGCCCGGCGCCAGCGCGGCCUCAAAGAGUUGCGUCUCGGGCCGGUACCAGACGAGGGAGUCGCCCUUAAGGCGAUAGGGUCCAUACUCAUCGCUGAACCAAUUCUGGCGGAUCUGGUAGCCGCUGGCGGCCCCACCCAAGGUGACGACCUCCCUCUGUUGCGCGCCAGGCUGGCCAGGGCGGUAGGGCGCCAGCAUGCCGACGGGCGUGGAGCCGGCCAGAAUAAACGGUCCGGGGAAUGCGCCCCGCUCGGCGGGCGCGACGAUGGGCAGACCCGGCAGCGGCGGGAACGGAAAGGUCACACGGGCACCCGCGAUCGUAGCACGCGGCGCGCGCUCCUGCUCCUCGGCGUAGAUUUCGCCAGCCCGCAUGGCACACUCGCGGCACACGGCGCCCACCGCCUGCGACUGACCCUGGAUAAAGGCCGAGUAGAACUCACUGGCGUCGGGGUCGGCCGACCAGGCGUCGAUCAUGCCCAGGAGCGCGCCCACGCCAUAGGCGUUGACGAGGCCGCGGUCUCUGAGCACGCGCGCCACUAUGGGGUCGCCGGUACCCGUGGGUGGUUGCUGCUCUUCCUCCUCAUCGCGCGACAACCGUCGUCGUCGGCUCGCGGGUUCGGCCGUCGGGCUCGUCGGUGCUCCGGGCAAGCCGUUGCGCUGAUAGUCUUGGAUGAGACCGAGCACAUGCUUCCGAUAGUCGUCUGCAUUACCGCCGGCCGCCUCCCACGCGUUCCAAUCUGGCGCCAGAUAAUCGAGCACAUCCGAGGGUAUGGCAACCCUGGAGCGACAGAUGGCGCACACGUCGGGCGGCGGCACGAUUUCGACGGCCUCGAUGGGUUGGCGCGACAGCGGGCUCACGCGCGCCAGCGUCGCCAGGGCAAUGUUGCCCGGAGUCGGGUAUUGGGCAGCCUCUUGCGGCGUCAUGGCAGCGGCGGCCAGGGCACCGGCGUCGAGGGCGUCGCGGCGUCGCUUGGCCGACACGGCGCGUGGACCCUCGGCUUGCUGUUGCUGUUGUUGGAGGAUGGCCUCGCGCACGGUGGGCAAGGGCGUCGGCGGCGCCUCAAACACGCUAAAGCCUGCAGUCGAUGGGCGGUAGGACGGCUGUUGGACCGACGGCGUGGGUGGUUGUAGUUGCGGUUGUGGUCGUGGCGAUGGCGCACCAACAAUAGCAGCGGCGGGCGCCAAAGCAGCGGCCAGCGGGGCCUCGGCGGUGGCGGCCUGGUUGGGUCCCACGACGAUGGUCGAGAGGCCCACGGCGUUGAGGUCGCCGCGCGCUCGUGCACACGGAUCGCUGGCCGAUCCAAGGGCGGGCGCCGCGGUCCACGGGUAGGCCGACGGGUCAUAGUCGCGCUGCCAGUUGGCCACCUGGGCGUCGACCGUGUCGCCGGCAAUGGGCAGCAGGCCAACAACCAUGCGACCAAUGGCGUCGGCCACGAGGUCUGCGGACAUGUUGUCGGCCCCCUGUGGCAGGCUAAAGUAGGCCAGCGGGUCCAGCCACCACCACCGAUCGAGGAUAUCCGACGCGCCGCCGUCGCCAAUGACCAGUCGGUAGUAGGGCCACGGCGCCCCCUGUGUGUCGUUCCGUCCAUCGAGGCGAAACAGGUACUCGGCGACGGCAGCCGGGAUCGCGCGCUCAUAAUAGGAAUCAAGAGACUCGCCGGCAUCUGGCGCCGGCAACGGCUUCUCCAGAUCGAGCACGCCCGUGAGGGCCGCCGCGAGGCCCGCGUUGGAGGCGCGCGGAUCGCUCAUGCCGUUGGCCGCGGCCCAGGCGUCCAUCUGGCCGCCGAUCACGUUGGCAAAGUCGGUCUGUGCGAGAAACAUAAACACGGCAAAGGCCGCGAGGUUGCCGCCGGGGCCGUCCAUCACCGGUAUGCCGAUGGAGGCAGCGGCCUCGCGCUGUUCGGCCGAGCGCGCGCGAGCCUCGCUGACGACGCGCUCGUAAUAGUACAUAAAGGGCGCCACCAAGUCAUUGGCGACGAGGUCGGGGUCCGAGGAGAGCGCGUCGCAGAGGAAAAAGAGCAUUUCGGUGGGUCCCAGCGAGACAAAGUCAUCGAGGCCGCGGGCGAGCACGGCCUGCUCGAUUGUGUUGUAGGGCAGUCGCGCGGGGGCCUCCAUGGUUGUGGCUCACACAGCGACCGGUUGGGGGGCAAAGGUGGCAAAGAGAGGCACAGGCAAAAGAGGUGGCCGCGGCGACGCCAAGGGCAAGCAAACAGACACGCGGUCGGUCGGUCGGUCGGUCGGUCAGUCAGAGGAGGCGGAUGGUCGGGUCCGCUCGGAUCUCCUUUUCCCUUGUGCGGCGUCUGUGUUUUGGUGCCUCGACGGCUUUUUACGCGUCGACCACGCACGCCGUUGGUCGACUGAACCCUUUGCCUUUUUUAGACGACCCAACCGGCCGCUUUUUUUUGCCUUUUCUCAGCCACAGACAAGACAAAAUCGAUCAAGCCACGCAAAAAGCAAAAGCGAGCCGGCACGCCUGUGUCCCUUGUCUACGUGAUGAUGGUGCGUGCGCGCUUUUUGUCAAGACAGACAAGUCUAGAUGUCGCCGGGGGCAGCCGCGGCCGGUUUCCCCUCACGCCGUCGGGCUUUUGGCGUGCGCUCGGGCGACACGCACCUCCACAUGCUCCUCACCAUCGUCGCCGUCGACGCUCCCCUCUACGUCGCGGUGCUCUACACUUUUUCUCUUUCUUCUGUGUGCGUGCGCGAGUCUUUUUUCUGCAACCAACCACCUUUAAAAAAAAAAGAACAAGACAAAGGGCCGAAAUC